This 77-nucleotide transfer RNA is filed under the name Skermanella aerolata. Its description in RNAcentral is "tRNA-Arg". It matches the Rfam family "tRNA". Rfam says of the family: Transfer RNA (tRNA) molecules are approximately 80 nucleotides in length. Their secondary structure includes four short double-helical elements and three loops (D, anti-codon, and T loops). The record is from RNAcentral. RNAcentral also lists the same sequence under 10 other names. Lineage: Bacteria; Pseudomonadati; Pseudomonadota; Alphaproteobacteria; Rhodospirillales; Azospirillaceae.
GCGCCCGUAGCUCAACUGGAUAGAGCAUCUGACUACGGAUCAGAAGGCUAGGAGUUCGAAUCUCUUCGGGCGCGCCA